This 277-nucleotide ribosomal RNA is filed under the name uncultured Geobacter sp. Its description in RNAcentral is "partial 16S ribosomal RNA". It matches the Rfam family "Bacterial small subunit ribosomal RNA", at positions 556 to 832 of the family's 1533-position model. Lineage: Bacteria; Pseudomonadati; Thermodesulfobacteriota; Desulfuromonadia; Geobacterales; Geobacteraceae. The record is from RNAcentral.
GGGCGUAAAGCGCGUGUAGGCGGUCUUCUAAGUCUGAUGUGAAAGCCCUGGGCUCAACCCAGGAAGUGCAUUGGAUACUGGGAGACUUGAAUACGGGAGAGGGUAGUGGAAUUCCUAGUGUAGGAGUGAAAUCCGUAGAUAUUAGGAGGAACACCGGUGGCGAAGGCGGCUACCUGGACCGAUAUUGACGCUGAGACGCGAAAGCGUGGGGAGCAAACAGGAUUAGAUACCCUGGUAGUCCACGCCGUAAACGAUGAGAACUAGGUGUCGCGGGUAA